This 107-nucleotide small nuclear RNA is filed under the name Salvator merianae (Argentine black and white tegu). Lineage: Eukaryota; Metazoa; Chordata; Lepidosauria; Squamata; Teiidae. The record is from RNAcentral.
GUGCUCAUGUCAGCAACACGUAUGCUAAAAUUGAAAUAAUACAGAGAAGAUUAGCAUGGCCCCUGUGCAAGGAUGACAUGCAAAUUUGUGAAGCAUUCCUUUUAAUA